Non-coding RNA from Cicer arietinum (chickpea), 484 nucleotides. Lineage: Eukaryota; Viridiplantae; Streptophyta; Magnoliopsida; Fabales; Fabaceae. The record is from RefSeq and is a predicted model, not a curated record.
UCCCAUCUUUUGCACAUACAAGUAACAAGUUUUCCUGCACCGUACUACUUAAGUUUUUCUUAAAAUGUUCAAUUAAGGAAUUUUGCAUCUUUAAUUGUAUAUUGUUACAAGGGGCUAUACUGUGGCAAAACUGGGGAAACUAAUGCAGGAUCAAUGCUUGUUUCUUUUUAUUUGUGUAAUUUCAUUACACUCCUUUCUCUUUUUGCUAUUAGGUAGUCACAAAUCUACUAAACAAUGAACAUUGGUCUGAGACCAAUAAAAAUUUAACCUUUCUGAUGUAAUUAGGAUUUGUUGGAUUUGAUGAAGAUAGUGGAGAUGAUGACAUUGAUAGCUAUCAUAUUGAAUAGUAUUUGUUUUUAUUUUAUUAAUUUGGUUGUAUCAUAUACUUGAUCAUACUUAGUUUUUUUUUUGGAUCAUGCUUGAAUUAAUGCUUAGUUUUGAUUUUUGAACAUGAUAUAAAUUGUGUCGGAGUAUUACAAUAGUA